RNAcentral lists this ribosomal RNA (432 nucleotides) under uncultured bacterium. RNAcentral describes it as "bacterial SSU rRNA". It matches the Rfam family "Bacterial small subunit ribosomal RNA", at positions 338 to 787 of the family's 1533-position model. The record is from RNAcentral.
CCUACGGGGGGCAGCAGUGGGGAAUAUUGCACAAUGGGGGGAACCCUGAUGCAGCGACGCCGCGUGGGUGAGGAAGUACUUCGGUAUGUAAAGCCCUAUCAGCAGGGAAGAAAAUGACGGUACCUGACUAAGAAGCCCCGGCUAACUACGUGCCAGCAGCCGCGGUAAUACGUAGGGGGCAAGCGUUAUCCGGAUUUACUGGGUGUAAAGGGAGCGUAGACGGCGUGCCAAGUCUGAUGUGAAAGGCCGGGGCUCAACCCCGGGACUGCAUUGGAAACUGGCAUGCUGGAGUGCCGGAGGGGCAAGCGGAAUUCCUAGUGUAGCGGUGAAAUGCGUAGAUAUUAGGAGGAACACCGGUGGCGAAGGCGGCUUGCUGGACGGUAACUGACGUUGAGGCUCGAAAGCGUGGGGAGCAAACAGGAUUAGAUACCC